Long non-coding RNA from Acinonyx jubatus (cheetah), 1812 nucleotides. RefSeq lists it as uncharacterized. The transcript has 3 exons. The record is from RefSeq and is a predicted model, not a curated record. Lineage: Eukaryota; Metazoa; Chordata; Mammalia; Carnivora; Felidae.
GGUAGUCUUCAUGCCAAGCGCUGAGCCCAAGGCAGGGCUUGAAUUCAGGACCCUGAGAUUAAGAGUUGGAAGCUUGACCAGCUGAGCCACCCAGGCACCAAAGGGUUUCAUUUUUGACUCACUGCUUGAUAUAAGUACAAGAGGUUCCAAGUACAAGAGCCUAGGCGAUGGCCACCCACUAAGGAUUCAGACACAUCUGAGGAGGCUAAUGGGAAGAUGUUUGGGGCCCAAUGAACAAACACCUGAGACUGAAAGCUUGCCUUCAGCAUCCUUCAGCAGUGAAAAGCCAACAUCCAGGUGCUCAAUUAGAUUGGGUAAAAAAACUUACCCUAAGAGAGCAUGAUGGUACAAACUUAAUCAGAGACACUGACUAGGGCUUGUCCAGGAGGAAUGGUUCUCAGCAUAGUAUAAGGCAAUGAUAGUUAAGUGAACUUGAACUUCUGAUUUGGCUGAAAGGAAAACCAAGCCUAAUUCCAAAUUCAGGAAAAGAGAGAUACAGGAGAAGUGUAAGAAAUCUUUAAAAAACAACAAAACGUUUUAGGAGUAUUACAGACACUUGGAUAAAAGGAAGCCUUGUUUAAUGGCCUGAAGACAAGAUGAGAGAAAAGGUGUUUGUUCUCUUCUUUAUUCACUUUACUAUUGUGACCCUGGAAAUGGGAAAACUGUGGAUGACAAUGUCAGUAGUAAGGGAACAACAUGUGCACCAGAAGUUAUGUCAGGAACUCUGACAUUCAUAGGAAUGGAUUGCUACCUGGAUUUUACUGAGGACUGUCUGAAGACUGAGGAUUUUUUAAGGGAGAUUCGCAGUCUGUGAUUUUUUCACCAGGCUUAUGUGUCCUACACAAAAUACCUAGGAAAAGAGUUCCUGGUUUGUGUGAACUGAUCUGUCCCAGGCCUGAGUGAUGAUGAACUGACACCUGAGCCCACAGUACCUGAUUCUCAACUUUGUGCAUAUGGAGCCUGGUGGCCCAGUGUGUCCCCCAUAAGUCCCUGCCUGUGACCGUGACUGUCCCUCCACCACUGCCAACAGCAGAAGGAUCUUUUGGAGCCUGGACACACACAUGGUGGGGCCACCUGCACAUGCGCAGUGCAGCCUGCAAGCACCUGCCCAAGCAGGUGGGCACCUCAGCAGAGCAACCCAUCUUCUUGGAGCUAUCGGUUCCCAGCGCUGCACUCCUGAUGUGCAGCUGGCACAGGGAAGGUCAUUUGCAUCAGACCCCUUCUGGCCAUGACCAGGAAAGAUACACAGGACCUCAGUGGGUCUCCCAAGUAUCUGUCAUCAGCGGACUUCCCAUAGAUGGCAUAGCUAAGGACUUCUGGUGAGAUCCUGCCUUAUGGAGUUGAUCAAAACACUGAAUACUCUUGAAAAAAAUGGCCCAACGGUCCAUCUUGUAGUAGUUCCAAAUAAUGGAAAAGCUGACAAGAAACAUGUGCUGAAUACUUAUGGCUUCAAGCAGUUGUAUCCUGACUCCAUGUUUCCAUUGCUUUUCCUUCACUUAUACUUCUGCUAUGGUAAGUUUUAAGUUUAAUUUUGUUGCUCACAUGGCUGGCCAGUGGAAGAAAGUUUCCAUAUUGAAGUCUGAAACCAAUAGCUGAUGGGUGUUGUAGUAAAGCAUGCCUUAUUGCUAUUAUUACAUUUUUGUAUGAUUUUUUUUUUGCUCUUUAUUUACCACCCAAACCCUAGUCUAUUACCUUUCUCUAAGAUCGUUUUCAGCUUUUCCUUUUCACAUAAUUAUAGAAUGUGACUUUUUAUAAUUUCUUUAGUUUCUCAUUUUUUUCUUAUGUUCUGGAAGGUUUUUUUUUUUUAAAGCC